CCAAUAGCGUAUAUUAAAGUUGUUGCAGUUAAAAAGCUCGUAGUUGAAUUUCGGGAUCAGUGGGUCGGUCGUGCCACUGGUAUGCACUGGCCCUACUGGUUCCUCCUUCUUGAAGAACUGUAAUGCCAUUAAUUUGGUGUUGCAGGGAAACAAGACUGUUACUUUGAAAAAAUUAGAGUGUUUAAAGCAGGCAAUCGCUUGAAUCCAUUAGCAUGGAAUAAUGAAAUAGGACGAUCGAUCCUAUUUUGUUGGUUUCUAGGAUUGACGUAAUGAUUAAUAGGGAUAGUUGGGGGCAUUAGUAUUCAAUUGUCAGAGGUGAAAUUCUUGGAUUUAUUGAAGACUAACUACUGCGAAAGCAUUUGCCAAGGAUGUUUUCAUUAAUCAAGAACGAAAGUUAGGGGAUCGAAGACGAUCAGAUACCGUCGUAGUCUUAACCAUAAACUAUGCCGACUAGGGAUCGGAUGAUGUUAAUUUUUUUAAUGACUCAUUCGGCGCCUUACG
Molecule: ribosomal RNA, 501 nt
Filed under: uncultured Glomeromycotina
Lineage: Eukaryota; Fungi; Glomeromycota
Description: partial small subunit ribosomal RNA
Rfam family: Eukaryotic small subunit ribosomal RNA
Source: RNAcentral